Cucurbita maxima (winter squash) is the source of this 413-nucleotide long non-coding RNA. RefSeq lists it as uncharacterized. The record is from RefSeq and is a predicted model, not a curated record. NCBI's taxonomy places the organism in Eukaryota, Viridiplantae, Streptophyta, Magnoliopsida, Cucurbitales, Cucurbitaceae. The transcript has 3 exons.
CUCCUUCUUUUAGCUUCUUGCUUCCCUUUGAUCUUAGGGUUUUCAUUGUCAAUCUUCGCGGCUUUAUUUCUCGGCGAUGGCGAAGAACAGGAAUAAGAAGAAGAAGGGAAGUGGAGCAAUUUCCAUGGACAUAACCGAAAAUUCUGUUCACGAGCUCCCUCAAGCGAUGGACGUGCUGAGUCUGCAGUUCAUAAACCAGCUUCUGGCGCUCUCAAUCUAAAGCUGAAGAAGGGGGGAAGACCAAUGAAGCGAUCGAAGAAUGUUAGGAAAACAAAAGCCAUAUCCAAGACCGAACAAUCCGCCGAGAAAAUAUUGAAAAAUCAGGGGAAAACUACCAGGAUACACUCUGCAAAAACAUUGUAUGAAUGAUACAGCCCUUAAAUUAUGAAAUUGAUUUAUUUCUGUUCCCUUCA